CAAGGGACGUUGCUCAAAUGUGUAAUAACACCACCCACUUAUGGCACCCGUCUCCGCCACCCGCAAAAGACGUCAUUCGAUCGUUGCGGUGAAAACAACAUGUCUGCGGGAAGCACCUGAGAGUUCUUCGCCAUGGAGCCGAGUGUCACUGAUUGUUUUCACAAGAGCACAAGAUGUUAUGACAGAAAUAAUGUAUGCCGGAUAUAUAAAGUCGUGAUUUCCUCACCUCAGUUAGGUAUAUCUAAACAUGUUUUCUUUUACUAAUUCCAAUAUUAGCUUGCAUGCUUCAUGAUAGUUCGUUCAUACGGACAUCCAAACGGACAUAAGGACAAAAGAAACGACACAGCUAGUGACGAAUAUAUAUCCAUUAUAGAGUCACUUUCAACUUGUAACGUUAUAGCAAAGUGCUUCUCAAAUUGGCUCAAAUGCAAAUAAAGUUAUAAGGAAUAAUAUUUACACAUACAGAAAGUCCGGCGCACGUGUCGCUAUGACCCUCUUCGCCAAACCAAAUGUUAGCCCAACUGCAACAUAGACAAAAGCCAUUAGAUCAAGAGCGAAACCCACUAGCCAAGACAAAGAUAUUUACCCAGCUGCCAGGAACACCCUUAGCCAAACGAUUUGCCAGUUUAGCCAGCAAAAUUUUGGCCUAAACUAUUGUACUUUUGGGUUAACAAAUUAACAAACAAAUAAACAAAUUGCAAUGAUUUAGAAUAACUUCUUUUUUUCUUGAUUUGAAAAAAGAAAGUAUAAACCAAGUAUUGUGUUAAGCUGCAUUGCGAAAUAAUUUUUUUUAGUUGAAUACGAAAGAAAUAUGCCAGCAAAAUCAUCCAAAAAUACACCAGUUUAUAUUUUUGUAUAUAUAUAUAUAUAAUUUUCUGACAUAUUUGAUAUGCUGACAUUUUAUGUAUUUCUAGUAGGGUUUUUUUCUUAUUCAAACAGGCCUGUUCCAUUUUCCCCAAAUACGUUUUCAAAAUCAUUACUUUUAACCGAUUACAAUGCGUACUUUUGAAAAACUUAGGAAAAGCUACAAAUUGCAAUGUAGAUCAGAAAAUUAAAAAAUUUAAAAAAAAAACCGAAAAUAAAGAAAUUCUUGAUUUUAUUGCUAACAAAUAAUGUUUUUUUACUCGGAAUCUGGAACAGUCCUGAUGAUUCAACUUUUGCCAAAUUGAUAAUUGCAUUUAUGAAUCAAAAUGAGUCGACAAUUGGCCUUUGGAUUCAGAAUUCAUUCCUGCUUAUAAGGCAUUGUUUUCCCGCCAUUAUUUCGUGU
Non-coding RNA from Drosophila melanogaster (fruit fly), 1267 nucleotides. The record is from Ensembl. NCBI's taxonomy places the organism in Eukaryota, Metazoa, Arthropoda, Insecta, Diptera, Drosophilidae.